RNAcentral lists this ribosomal RNA (914 nucleotides) under uncultured Parabacteroides sp. RNAcentral describes it as "bacterial SSU rRNA". It matches the Rfam family "Bacterial small subunit ribosomal RNA", at positions 521 to 1438 of the family's 1533-position model. The record is from RNAcentral. Lineage: Bacteria; Pseudomonadati; Bacteroidota; Bacteroidia; Bacteroidales; Tannerellaceae.
UAAUACGGAGGAUCCGAGCGUUAUCCGGAUUUAUUGGGUUUAAAGGGUGCGUAGGCGGCCUUUUAAGUCAGCGGUGAAAGUCUGUGGCUCAACCAUAGAAUUGCCGUUGAAACUGGGGGGCUUGAGUAUGUUUGAGGCAGGCGGAAUGCGUGGUGUAGCGGUGAAAUGCUUAGAUAUCACGCAGAACCCCGAUUGCGAAGGCAGCCUGCCAAGCCAUGACUGACGCUGAUGCACGAAAGCGUGGGGAUCAAACAGGAUUAGAUACCCUGGUAGUCCACGCAGUAAACGAUGAUCACUAGCUGUUUGCGAUACAUUGUAAGCGGCACAGCGAAAGCGUUAAGUGAUCCACCUGGGGAGUACGCCGGCAACGGUGAAACUCAAAGGAAUUGACGGGGGCCCGCACAAGCGGAGGAACAUGUGGUUUAAUUCGAUGAUACGCGAGGAACCUUACCCGGGUUUGAACGCAUUUCGACAGCUCUGGAAACAGAGCCUCUAGCAAUAGUGAUUUGCGAGGUGCUGCAUGGUUGUCGUCAGCUCGUGCCGUGAGGUGUCGGCUUAAGUGCCAUAACGAGCGCAACCCUUGCCACUAGUUACUAACAGGUGAUGCUGAGGACUCUGGUGGGACUGCCAGCGUAAGCUGCGAGGAAGGCGGGGAUGACGUCAAAUCAGCACGGCCCUUACAUCCGGGGCGACACACGUGUUACAAUGGCGUGGACAAAGGGAGGCCACCUGGUGACAGGGAGCGAAUCCCCAAACCACGUCUCAGUUCGGAUCGGAGUCUGCAACCCGACUCCGUGAAGCUGGAUUCGCUAGUAAUCGCGCACCAGCCAUGGCGCGGUGAAUACGUUCCCGGGCCUUGUACACACCGCCCGUCAAGCCAUGGGAGCCGGGGGUACCUGAAGUCCGUAACCGCG